This 492-nucleotide ribosomal RNA is filed under the name uncultured bacterium. Its description in RNAcentral is "partial 16S ribosomal RNA". It matches the Rfam family "Bacterial small subunit ribosomal RNA", at positions 29 to 507 of the family's 1533-position model. The record is from RNAcentral.
AGUGAACGCUGGCGGUAGGCCUAGCACAUGCAAGUCGAACGGCAGCACAGUAAGAGCUUGCUCUUACGGGUGGCGAGUGGCGGACGGGUGAGGAAUACAUCGGAAUCUACUUUUUCGUGGGGGAUAACGUAGGGAAACUUACGCUAAUACCGCAUACGACCUACGGGUGAAAGCAGGGGAUCUUCGGACCUUGCGCGAUUGAAUGAGCCGAUGUCGGAUUAGCUAGUUGGCGGGGUAAAGGCCCACCAAGGCGACGAUCCGUAGCUGGUCUGAGAGGAUGAUCAGCCACACUGGAACUGAGACACGGUCCAGACUCCUACGGGAGGCAGCAGUGGGGAAUAUUGGACAAUGGGCGCAAGCCUGAUCCAGCCAUACCGCGCGGGUGAAGAAGGCCUUCGGGUUGUAAAGCCCUUUUGUUGGGAAAGAAAAGCAGCAGGUUAAUACCCCGCUGUUCUGACGGUACCCAAAGAAUAAGCACCGGCUAACUUCGUG